AAUCUGAAGAGAUUGUAUUGCAGAUUUUAAGUUUGUUGUUUAAGUAUUCGUGAUACACACAGUGAGACGGUUAAUAAUGACUCUAAAUCAAAAACGUAUAUCUUAAAUGGUGUCAAAAUUAAUUUCAAGUCCAGGUUAGAAACAAACGCAGUGAGUCUGGAAAGCUUUUAACAGGUAAUCAAAGCACGAAGAGUUAGAAGAAGACGGACAGCGAUGGAUUCUGCCUGAGCGCUUACGACAGGAGAGCCAGAGAAGUCGGAGGCAGCUGACCGAAAACCGUCAGACCAACUAGAGGCGGCGUCUGCUUGGAGGAAACCAGGGCCGUUAAAAAAGGAGGAAGUUUUCUUUCUUUUCUUUUUUUUUUUUUUUUCCUUUUACUGCGCACAUAAAUCCGAGGUGACGUUUCUCCUUGAAUCUGCACAUGCUUCUCUGUCCGGCUUGAUUUACCUCCCGGCGCACACGGCUCCGGCCCGCUGCCGGGGGGGGCAGCCAGCGCCGGCCGCUGUUAUUUUAGGCCUGCUAACUCCCAGAGCAAGGCGGCUCGUUAGUGCGCCUCGCUAAUCUGACUGCGAUCAUUCAUGCUGCGGUGGGACCAAAACACAAUAAAUGAGCUGUGUCCUCCUGGCAGGCCGUAAAGCCGCCUCACCAGGACACCAGCAGAAAGACACCUCCGCCAGUUACCGCCGGGCCCAGCUUGGAUCUAUAUUGGGAUUCCUUCCCGCCACGCUCUGCUCUUGGAUCAGCCGUCAAUCAGAACGCCGUGGGAGGAGCUGCGGUGUCUUUUUACCCCGCUCAGUAGACGUCGCACAAAUUGUUACCCCCCUCCAACCCAAA
This is a long non-coding RNA of Poecilia latipinna (sailfin molly), 834 nucleotides long. RefSeq lists it as uncharacterized. The transcript has 2 exons. The record is from RefSeq and is a predicted model, not a curated record. Lineage: Eukaryota; Metazoa; Chordata; Actinopteri; Cyprinodontiformes; Poeciliidae.